GAAGCCAGGCUGAGGAACAGCAGGCGGCCCAGGCCGCGGAAGGCCCCCUCGGCCACCACCUCCACUUGACAGUGCUGCAGGUCCAGGUGCGUGAGCAGCCAAAGGGAAUUUUCCAGACUACAGAGUGGACCCUGAUACUCCCAAUGGAAACCUUCCUGCUGUCCAGGUAUCUCCUUUAGUGGAAAGUUCCCAUUCCUCGCGCCUCCAGAGGAAUGUACAAGUUCUCUGUCACACACACUUCAAGUGCCCCCGGCCCCGCUGCACAGGACCAGCAACAGCUAAUUGACUCGGCUCCUGCUGCAUGCUUGAGUCGCAGUUUUCUCAGCGCCUUGGCUUUCUCCAGACUCUGGCUUGGGAGGCAGGGUAGGAAGUGAGCCAAUUAGGCUGAUUCCUGAAGAGACAAAGGUCCAAGGCAUAGAGGGCUGCCAUGGAUUUCUCUUCGUAAGGCUCCAAAGGACUACAGCGCAGGGGAGCAUGGGGCAACUGCAUCCUCCCUUCUUUAGGGCCCACCUCUGGAGACCCUCAGGUACAGGAAGAUCCCGUACAGGAAGAUCUGCAGCCCCCUUCUCAGAGGCACAGAAAGGGGUCGUCUAUGGCUACCUAGUUCGUCUGUGCACCCCGAGGGCCCCCAAACUCACCCCUCCAU
Long non-coding RNA from Meriones unguiculatus (Mongolian gerbil), 646 nucleotides. RefSeq lists it as uncharacterized. NCBI's taxonomy places the organism in Eukaryota, Metazoa, Chordata, Mammalia, Rodentia, Muridae. The transcript has 3 exons. The record is from RefSeq and is a predicted model, not a curated record.